This is a long non-coding RNA of Betta splendens (Siamese fighting fish), 2224 nucleotides long. RefSeq lists it as uncharacterized. The transcript is spliced from 4 exons. The record is from RefSeq and is a predicted model, not a curated record. NCBI's taxonomy places the organism in Eukaryota, Metazoa, Chordata, Actinopteri, Anabantiformes, Osphronemidae.
CAAACACUCAUUAACCCCAUAAAAGCCACGUUACAUAAUUCAUAACAGCGGCACGUAUUGAUGCUGAAGCUGUUUUGUGUACGCUCUCAUUAGUUGUUGAAUGUGACGGCUCCAUCUAGUGGCCGUCUAAUUCUUAUUUCUACAGAUGUCCAUGGCGUCUGUUCUCUUUGAUGCACAGCAGCCGAAAUGAAAAGCAGGAAACUGAGUCGCACACGCGGCACAACGUUCUGCAGGAGAAGCAUGGAGCUGAAAUCAGGUUCCUGACCUCCCAGGAGAAGUCGCUGACGUGGAACCUGCAGGAGGUCUUUAGUCUCCCAGAGUUGGAGAGAAAACAGGAAGUCCUCAGGUUGAUAGAUGAGUCGCUUUCUGCUGAACAUGCACGUAGCCCUCAGUGAAGCCGAGUUCUGGCCGACAGCAGCUUGGGCUCAUACGCGCUAACUGCUUUAAACUGUUGUAAUGUUUGUUUUCUGUAGUUAGAGUCAAACCCUUCAACUCUGCUGCCUGGUGGCACUGUGUCCACCAGGCUGCACCCGGACCAGACAAGCAGCGGAGGAUGCGUGAGUGCAGCCACGUCAACGCAGCACCAGCAUCUCCACUAACAAUGAGCUUGAACUCUGUGUGCACAUCCCAAAGAAACAACGCACAACUGAGUGGACCUCUACUUUGUACUGUCCCUGAAUGCAGCACAUUGGACCGGCAUGUAACUACACCUGAGGAGCUGAGCUGAGCAGCAUCAACGGACUCAGUGAGUCACACUCACAGUCCUAACGUCUGCUAUGCAGAAGAACAGAACGCCUGGAGAUGCUUCCUGUCCAGGGUGGUAGAAAGCAGCUCCAUGCUCCAUGUCCAUGCAGGUACAUGACGUCCCACGGUUCUAGAUGUCCUCCCACUCCGGCACCAGGGAGCGUCCAGACCGGGUAAAGUGGAGGAAGUGAAGCCGGUCACAGAUCACAGCAGAUGUUGCUUGGCCUCCAGCUGAGGCAGAAACCUGCUCCGUCGGCCCUGAGCUCCACCCCUGCUGCGACGCUGACCCACCAUUUAAUUUGACUUUUCCCAUUAGUGUUUGUGGCUGGUUAAGUGGUGAUGGAGGGGGGUUAAUCACCGGCUGCCCGUCCGGGAGCAGCAGCCAUAUGUGGAGGCUGGUUCAGAAGCAGGACGGUUUCACCAGCAGAGACCAGACGCGUGGUUAGAGUUGGUCGCAUCGCGGCUUCGUUUCCUGAAGACGAGCGGCAGCUGCAAUGCUUCCUCCUGAGAUGCACCUUUCAUCAGACUCAACACAUUCUGCGCUGCAUUGGACUGAAGCACGUUUGUCAGAGGGCACCUUCUAUGGAGCGAGUCAUGACACAAGCAGCAAAGCUCUGCGCUGAGGUCGCUUUGACUCCUCCUCCAAGUGUGAGCGUCUCCACCAACACACUCCACACUGCGCGGCUGGAGGCUGCAGGUCCCUGAAGCAGGAUCAUGGCUGAGGUGACAACUUGAUGACCAUUCUAUGGCGUCACAUUUGAAGACGUUUGUAAUGAAGCCCAACACAAAGCCUGGUGUUUUGCUGGUGGUGGACGUGAGGGCCUGUUUGACAGACAGGGGGUGGGCGUGGGAGUGCCGGCCAGCGGGUCGGCCUCGGCCGCUCUUUGAUGCCUUGUUGCCGGGUGACGUGACGUCAGGAUGCCCUCUGCUAAUUAAAGCCCGCCUCCGGGUCCUGUGGGUCAGAGGAUUACUGGCCCUCACGUUCAGCCAGAUGGGUUUUUAUUGUGAAAGGUGCUUUACUGAGGUGCCUCUGAGCCAGGCACUGCACGGCACAGGACCGAGGUCAGAGCAGGAGGUCGGCGUCCUGUUUAAACCUGUAGCUGCACCCUGAGUGACCAUGAGCGUCUGACGAGGCUCUGCCGACGCGUGAGGGUGGGGGUUUGUGAGGAUGUGAGCGCUCGCCUCAGAUGUUGAAGGCCCCCUGCUGGGACCCUAAUAACGGCCUGACUGCCAGCAGGUCCACAGGUCCAAGAUCCGGAUUGUUCUCAGCUCAUCUGGAGUCAAGUUCUUCUACUUUGAAUAUUGAGUUUGUACAUUUCUGCGAAGUACUUUUAUUUAAAACCACAAACCAUGUGUAGAGUUUAACUCACACUGAAGCCAUGAGCUGCUCUCGCUGGACGCUACUGUACAAUCAGACGCUGGUUAAUGUGUGUGUGUGUGUGUGUGUGUGUGUGUGUGUGUGUGUGUGUGUGUGCGUGUC